This 189-nucleotide ribosomal RNA is filed under the name uncultured bacterium. RNAcentral describes it as "partial small subunit ribosomal RNA". It matches the Rfam family "Bacterial small subunit ribosomal RNA", at positions 26 to 216 of the family's 1533-position model. The record is from RNAcentral.
AGGAUGAACGCUGGCGGCGUGCCUAACACAUGCAAGUCGAACGUUAGAGUGUAGCAAUAUGCUCAAAAGUGGCGGACGGGUGAGUAACACGUAGGUAGCCUGCCGCGCAGAGGGGGAUAACGACUGGAAACGGUCGCUAACACCGCAUGGUACUAGCCAAAGGGGACUUUAGCUAGUUAAAACCUUGGU